This 376-nucleotide ribosomal RNA is filed under the name uncultured bacterium. RNAcentral's name for it is "bacterial SSU rRNA". It matches the Rfam family "Bacterial small subunit ribosomal RNA", at positions 524 to 898 of the family's 1533-position model. The record is from RNAcentral.
UACGGGGGGUGCAAGCGUUGUUCGGAAUCAUUGGGCGUAAAGCGCGUGUAGGCGGCUUGACAAGUCAGAUGUGAAAUCCCUGGGCUUAACCCAGGAAGUGCAUUUGAAACUGUCAGGCUAGAGUAAGGGAGAGGAAAGUGGAAUUCCUGGUGUAGAGGUGAAAUUCGUAGAUAUCAGGAGGAACACCGGUGGCGAAGGCGACUUUCUGGCCCUAUACUGACGCUGAGACGCGAAAGCGUGGGUAGCAAACAGGAUUAGAUACCCUGGUAGUCCACGCUGUAAACGAUGUUCACUAGGUGUUGGGGGUAUUGACCCUUUCAGUGCCGCAGCUAACGCAUUAAGUGAACCGCCUGGGGAGUACGGUCGCAAGAUUAAA